UCUAAUACCGGAUAGGACCACGGGAUUCAUGUCCUGUGGUGGAAAGCCUUUUGCGGUGUGGGAUGAGCCCGCGGCCUAUCAGCUUGUUGGUGGGGUAACGGCCUACCAAGGCGACGACGGGUAGCCGGCCUGAGAGGGUGUCCGGCCACACUGGGACUGAGAUACGGCCCAGACUCCUACGGGAGGCAGCAGUGGGGAAUAUUGCACAAUGGGCGCAAGCCUGAUGCAGCGACGCCGCGUGGGGGAUGACGGCCUUCGGGUUGUAAACCUCUUUCACCAUCGACGAAGGUUCGGGUUUUCUCGGAUUGACGGUAGGUGGAGAAGAAGCACCGGCCAACUACGUGCCAGCAGCCGCGGUAAUACGUAGGGUGCGAGCGUUGUCCGGAAUUACUGGGCGUAAAGAGCUCGUAGGUGGUUUGUCGCGUUGUUCGUGAAAUCUCACGGCUUAACUGUGAGCGUGCGGGCGAUACGGGCAGACUAGAGUACUGCAGGGGAGACUGGAAUUCCUGGUGUAGCGGUGGAAUGCGCAGAUAUCAGGAGGAACACCGGUGGCGAAGGCGGGUCUCUGGGCAGUAACUGACGCUGAGGAGCGAAAGCGUGGGGAGCGAACAGGAUUAGAUACCCUGGUAGUCCACGCCGUAAACGGUGGGUACUAGGUGUGGGUUUCCUUCCUUGGGAUCCGUGCCGUAGCUAACGCAUUAAGUACCCCGCCUGGGGAGUACGGCCGCAAGGCUAAAACUCAAAGGAAUUGAUCGGGGGCCCGCACAAGCGGCGGACGCAUGUGGAUUAAUUCGAUGCAACGUCGAAGAA
This 810-nucleotide ribosomal RNA is filed under the name Mycobacterium sp. 05FL-2-70A. RNAcentral's name for it is "bacterial SSU rRNA". It matches the Rfam family "Bacterial small subunit ribosomal RNA", at positions 162 to 968 of the family's 1533-position model. The record is from RNAcentral. Lineage: Bacteria; Bacillati; Actinomycetota; Actinomycetes; Mycobacteriales; Mycobacteriaceae.